RNAcentral lists this long non-coding RNA (979 nucleotides) under Astyanax mexicanus (Mexican tetra). Its description in RNAcentral is "lncRNA (ENSAMXG00005008987.1)". Lineage: Eukaryota; Metazoa; Chordata; Actinopteri; Characiformes; Acestrorhamphidae. The record is from RNAcentral.
UGGGAACUUUAUUCUCUCUCCAUGUGCAUGAAAUGAGUGAAAAAUAAAUUCUGUCUUUCUUUUACACACAAGCAGUUUUUCUCAGUGAGAUUUAUCGCAAACUGAGCAUAGGCCACAUGGUCUGAAUGAAUGGGCUUUUCCAUAAUUGCCUUAUUAAUCACAUUUUGUGGUAAAUAAAUAUGUUCAGAACCCUAUAAAUAAAACUAUAAAACCUACAAGGUUCUAAAUAUAUUUAUUAAGCACACAAUGUGAUAAAGGCAAUUAUUGAUAAUCCCACUGUGUAAUUUGAGUUUAGACAAGAAGCACCAAAUAUGGGCAUCUGAAAACUACAGACUGAUGCACAACAGCAGGAGUAAUUUUCUUACAGACAAUGAAUAUUUAAAAUGUUUAUUGCUUUACUUUAUGCUGCAGGGAGGCAUUUUUGAAGAUGAUUUCACAUAAAUCCCAAACGUUGAUGGAUUUCUUGCCUUCCUCCAGGGAUAAUCCACUUCUGACUACUUUCCUCUUCUGGGUGAAUAUGUACCAUGACGAUUAUGUUUUGGAUACUCAGUGGCGCAAUCAUGCUCCCAGUGCACCCCUAUCAGAUCUCAUCAAAAGAGUCUGUAAUAGCUGCACCAGGAGAUGAUGCUAUUCUCCCCUGUACGUUCACUGCAGCUGACAGCCAGAAUAUUACCAACCUAAUCAUUAACUGGCAGCAUCAAGACAAGGUGGUCCACAGCUUCUANUAGAUAGAUAGAUAGAUAGAUAGAUAGAUAGAUAGAUAGAUAGAUAGAUAGAUAGAUAGAUAACCAGUGAUGUCAGUAACGCGUUACUCUAAUCUGACAUUUUUUUCAGUAACGAGUAAUCUAACGCGUUACUAUUUCCAAUCCAGUAAUCAGAUUAAAGUUACUUAUCCUCACACACACACACACGCGCGCGCGCGCGCUCACUUCCCCAAUUACUCCGCUUCGCCCCCGCCAAUCACACGCGUCUCGGACAC